Molecule: long non-coding RNA, 534 nt
Organism: Rhincodon typus (whale shark)
Lineage: Eukaryota; Metazoa; Chordata; Chondrichthyes; Orectolobiformes; Rhincodontidae
Exons: 2
Source: RefSeq, a predicted model, not a curated record
GUAAUCAGUGUCGGUUGGGGGCAAUAUCCGGGCACCUGCCUUCAAAUUUCCCGCGCUGCUGGGGCCGAUGCACGUGUAGAGUGGGAUGGCAGAGCGGCGCCGCCACAAAUUCGGUGACCAACUUGAGAUCCACAGCUGAGAAUUAGCAAUCUGACUUGAAAGUGCAUCCCUUUAUUCUCUUUUAGGGAUAUAAUGCUGGCUUUCCCUCUAGAUCAACCACAACACCACCCACCCUUUGAGAUGAGGACAUUUGCUGUUUGUAAAGAUCAAUGGGGUCACCUUGGCUAAUGGACCUGUGAGAAGAUGUGUGGCUCACACUGUCUGAGUUUGGAGACUGGCUUCAUUUUGAAUAUGACUGUAUUGACUGUUUUAAGGCUCCUAUAGCCUAGCCAGUGCAAAACACUAGCCUCAUUUCAGUGAGUGGUUUGUGUUACUCUAAGUUUGUCAUACACAGAUCUGUACAGCACAGGAACAGGACCUUUGCCUACAAUAUUGUGCUGAACAUGAUGCCAAAUUAAACUAACCUCUUCUGCC